RNAcentral lists this ribosomal RNA (492 nucleotides) under uncultured bacterium. RNAcentral's name for it is "partial 16S ribosomal RNA". It matches the Rfam family "Bacterial small subunit ribosomal RNA", at positions 29 to 507 of the family's 1533-position model. The record is from RNAcentral.
AGUGAACGCUGGCGGUAGGCCUAACACAUGCAAGUCGAACGGCAGCACAGUAAGAGCUUGCUCUUACGGGUGGCGAGUGGCGGACGGGUGAGGAAUACAUCGGAAUCUACUUUUUCGUGGGGGUUAACGUAGGGAAACUUACGCUAAUACGGCAUACGACCUACGGGUGAAAGCAGGGGAUCUUCGGACCUUGCGCGAUUGAAGGAGCCGAUGUCGGAUUAGCUAGUUGGCGGGGUAAAGGCCCACCAAGGAGACGAUCCGUAGCUGGUCUGAGAGGAUGGUCAGCCACACUGGUACUGAGGCACGGUCCAGACGCCUACGGGAGGCAGCAGUGGGGAAUAUUGGAGCAUGGGCGCAAGACUGAUCCAGCCAUACCGCGUGGGUGAAGAUGGCCUUCGGGUUGUAGAGCCCUUUUGUUGGGAAAGAAGAGCAGCAGGUUAAUACCCCGCUGUUCUGACGGUACCCAAAGAAUAAGCACCGGCUAACUUCGUG